This 253-nucleotide ribosomal RNA is filed under the name uncultured bacterium. Its description in RNAcentral is "partial 16S ribosomal RNA". It matches the Rfam family "Bacterial small subunit ribosomal RNA", at positions 524 to 776 of the family's 1533-position model. The record is from RNAcentral.
GACGAACCGUGCUAACGUUGUUCGGAUUCACUGGGCUUAAAGGGCGCGUAGGCGGGCAACCAAGUCAGGGGUGAAAUCUUUCGGCUCAACCGGAAAAGCGCCCCUGAUACUGGUCGCCUCGAGGGGGGUAGGGGCGGACGGAACUUCCGGUGGAGCGGUGAAAUGCGUAGAUAUCGGAAGGAACGCCGGUGGCGAAAGCGGUCCGCUGGACCCCUUCUGACGCUGAGGCGCGAAAGCCAGGGGAGCAAACGGG